UUGGAUUAGAUACCCCACUAUGCUUUGCCCUAAACAUUGAUAGUUUAAUACAAUCGCUAUCCGCCUGGGAACUACGAGCAGUAGCUUAAAACCCAAAGGACUUGGCGGUGCUUUAGACCCCCCUAGAGGAGCCUGUUCUAAAACCGAUAACCCCCGUUCAACCUCACCUUUUCUUGUUCCCCCCGCCUAUAUACCGCCGUCGUCAGCUUACCCUUUGAAGGCCCUUUAGUAAGCAUAAUUGGCACAGCCUAAAACGUCAGGUCGAGGUGUAGCGUAUGGAAAGGGAAGAAAUGGGCUACAUUCCCUGUUACAGUGAAUUACGGAUAAUACCACUGAAACGUGUAUCUAGAAGGAGGAUUUAGCAGUAAGCAGAAAGUAGAGCGUUCUGCUGAAACCGGCCCUGAAGCGCGCACACACCGCCCG
RNAcentral lists this ribosomal RNA (423 nucleotides) under Hyporthodus septemfasciatus (convict grouper). Its description in RNAcentral is "partial 12S ribosomal RNA". It matches the Rfam family "Bacterial small subunit ribosomal RNA", at positions 773 to 1396 of the family's 1533-position model. Lineage: Eukaryota; Metazoa; Chordata; Actinopteri; Perciformes; Serranidae. The record is from RNAcentral.